AGAGUUUGAUCAUGGCUCAGAAUCAACGCUGGCGGCGCGCUUAACACAUGCAAGUCGAACGAGAAAGUCCGCAAGGAUGAGUAAAGUGGCGUACGGGUGAGUAACACGUGGAUAAUCCACCUCUUAGUGGGGAAUAACUCUGGGAAACCGGAGCUAAUACCGCAUAAGCCUGUGAAGGGAAAGCAGCAAUGCGCUGAGAGAGGAGUCCGCGGCCGAUUAGCUAGUUGGUAGGGUAAUGGCCUACCAAGGCGAUGAUCGGUAGCCGGCCUGAGAGGGCACACGGCCACACUGGCACUGAAACACGGGCCAGACUCCUACGGGAGGCAGCAGUGGGGAAUCUUGCACAAUGGGGGAAACCCUGAUGCAGCGACGCCGCGUGAACGAUGAAGCCCUUCGGGGUGUAAAGUUCUUUCGGCAGGAACGAUAAUGACGGUACCUGAAGAAGAAGCUGCGGCUAACUACGUGCCAGCAGCCGCGGUAAUACGUAGGCAGCAAGCGUUGUUCGGAGUUACUGGGCGUAAAGAGUGUGUAGGCGGUGCUCUAAGUUUGGUGUGAAAUCUCCCGGCUCAACUGGGAGGGUGCGCCGAAAACUGGAGUGCUUGAGUAUGGGAGAGGAAAGCGGAAUUCCUGGUGUAGCGGUGAAAUGCGUAGAUAUCAGGAGGAACACCUGCGGUGUAGACGGCUUUCUGGACCAUCACUGACGCUGAGACACGAAAGCGUGGGUAGCAAACAGGAUUAGAUACCCCCGUAGUCC
Molecule: ribosomal RNA, 754 nt
Filed under: uncultured bacterium
Lineage: Bacteria
Description: bacterial SSU rRNA
Rfam family: Bacterial small subunit ribosomal RNA
Source: RNAcentral